This 205-nucleotide long non-coding RNA is filed under the name Brassica napus (rape). RNAcentral describes it as "long non-coding RNA (BNAP_LNC006047)". Lineage: Eukaryota; Viridiplantae; Streptophyta; Magnoliopsida; Brassicales; Brassicaceae. The record is from RNAcentral.
GAGUUAAGUCUACCCAGUGUAACCUGAUCGGCUGAGAACUUCUGAAGAAUCAAGUGAAAUAUGUCAGGUUGUUCCAGGUCCACAUGUGUAUCUUUCGCCACUGCUAAGGUCACUGAAUAAGAUAACUAAAGCACGAGGUGGUUAGUGAUCAACACGGAAUAAGGUCCUAAUUCCCACAAAGUUUUGACUGACUCAAUAAAAACUG